Molecule: non-coding RNA, 97 nt
Filed under: Loktanella sp. 3ANDIMAR09
Lineage: Bacteria; Pseudomonadati; Pseudomonadota; Alphaproteobacteria; Rhodobacterales; Roseobacteraceae
Also listed under: 1 other name
Description: TPP riboswitch aptamer (THI element)
Rfam family: TPP riboswitch aptamer (THI element)
About the family: Vitamin B(1) in its active form thiamin pyrophosphate (TPP) is an essential coenzyme that is synthesised by coupling of pyrimidine and thiazole moieties in bacteria. The previously detected thiamin-regulatory element, thi box was extended, resulting in a new, highly conserved RNA secondary structure, the THI element, which is widely distributed in eubacteria and also occurs in some archaea. Analysis of operon structures identified a large number of new candidate thiamin-regulated genes, mostly transporters, in various prokaryotic organisms.
Source: Rfam by way of RNAcentral
UUGGGUACCUCGGGGGGCCAUAUGGCUGAGAUGCGCAAGCGGACCCGUUGAACCUGAACCGGUUAAGACCGGCGGAGGGAAGGUCCGGCAUAACGUC